This 454-nucleotide ribosomal RNA is filed under the name bacterium ND3005. Its description in RNAcentral is "bacterial SSU rRNA". It matches the Rfam family "Bacterial small subunit ribosomal RNA", at positions 28 to 467 of the family's 1533-position model. The record is from RNAcentral.
GAUGAACGCUGGCGGCGUGCCUAACACAUGCAAGUCGAACGGAGUUUAACGCUGAUGAAGCUUCGGCAGAUUCUUGUUAAACUUAGUGGCGGACGGGUGAGUAACGCGUGGGUAACCUGCCUCAUACAGGGGGAUAGCAGUUGGAAACGACUGAUAACACCGCAUAAGCGCACAGGAUCGCAUGAUCUAGUGUGAAAAUAUUUAUAGGUAUGAGAUGGACCCGCGUCUGAUUAGCUAGUUGGUGAGGUAACGGCCCACCAAGGCGACGAUCAGUAGCCGGCCUGAGAGGGCGGACGGCCACAUUGGGACUGAGACACGGCCCAAACUCCUACGGGAGGCAGCAGUGGGGGAUAUUGCACAAUGGGCGAAAGCCUGAUGCAGCGACGCCGCGUGAGUGAAGAAGUAUUUCGGUAUGUAAAGCUCUAUCAGCAGGGAAGAAAGACCUCGUAAGAGG